Long non-coding RNA from Octodon degus (degu), 101 nucleotides. RefSeq lists it as uncharacterized. The record is from RefSeq and is a predicted model, not a curated record. The transcript is spliced from 3 exons. Lineage: Eukaryota; Metazoa; Chordata; Mammalia; Rodentia; Octodontidae.
UCUCUUCCGUCUCGACUUCAUCUUGCAUGCUCAGAAAGAUGGAAAUUCUUUUGGACUUCUGAUACUGACUGUGGGCAAUGACCUACUGCGUCUGCAGGCGG